UGCUGACGGAGACCAUUAAUGAGCAUUACAGAGUGAUUUACAACACCUGGGUCCCACUUAAAAUAGUGUUACAGAAAGUAUCACAUCUGUGUACCCGAGCUUGAGAAGACUGAUAGAAUUUUAUUUGCUUCUGAAUUCUGCAGCAUAGGUUGAAGGGCACACACCACCUCUCCUUCUUCAUUUUUCUUUAAGUUACUUGUGCUGCUAGUCCAUCCUUUGCUGACAUUAGUGGCACUAUACAAUACAACUGCCCUGGUUUUGGUUCCUUCAUUCACACACACUGUAGAUGAAUGUCAGAAGGUAAUUGCUUGUGUUUCCUACACUGGCAAAUUGCUUUGUCUUUCAAAGAGUACGUGUGCCUGUGUUUUUCUUUGUGGACAGCACUUGGGAAAUGCUGAAAGCAUAAGGGUACAGUGUAUGUGUAUACCCUCCACGUGGUGUUGAUCAUCUUUCACAUCAGAAGAAUCAAGAAACCAAGACGUUACUUUGUGUUAAUCACAUAUUGGAAUGCAUUGUUAAAGCCUGGUGCCUACAAAAGAAAAAGCUGUUCAUCCUUUGGCCUCGCUUCAAACAAGAAUGUCAAAGUCUGUGUGAAAGAGCCAUCAGAGCCUUCUGCUGUUACUGGUGAACCCUGAGGCUGUGAGGGCAAGGGAGGAGAGCAGAGAGCCCGGGAGAAUGGGUGAAGCUGGCAAAGGCUGGACUGAAAAUGUCUACAAAGUUAGCAGAGGACUUGGCCUGCAAAGGGAGACCUCGGUGUCGUGGAGGGCCCUUGCCUGAAUGUGAAGCCUAUAGCCAUAUUUUAAAACAAAACACUAACACAUUCAGCGUGCCUUACUUUUGCUCCAAAUCACUGCAGCUGUGGCCAUUCUGUGAUUCGUGCAGUACAGUGGAGGGAAGAAGUCUCUAUCAAUAGUUCUGCUGGAAGGAGUUCAGGUAGGAAGGAAAGGAGCUGUCUAGAUGUCCUGUGGGGAAGUCAGUGGAUGCGCAUGUCUCCUUACCCUUUCGGCUUUCUCUGCCAGCUAGUCUUUCCAUAGUAUUAUUGCUGUAACAAAUCCAGCCCUCACUUUUAAAGUGGGAAACAAAGAACACCAGCAGUGCCCUUCAAAAAAUGUGCAUGUACCCUUUCCCACCCACUCAAAAAGGAGUGGGGAUGGAGAACAUAAAAGACACAAAUCCCUUAUGUUCUCCGAAGCCUCGUGUACCUUCAGCACACUAAGUUUCUGCUGUAAGCCUCUCCUUCCAUUCCAAACCAAGCUAAAAUUAUCCUUCUGAAGUCUUUCCUAGACAAGCUUUUGUUACAUGACUCUUUUGGACAAGCAUCAAUCUGUUUCCCAAAAGCCUGUCUUCCAGGAAUGGCUUAGUGCUGGCUUUGGGGCAGGUGCUCAGAUAUUCUGCAGCAGAUGCUGCUUUCUGGUGUAGCCCAUCACUGCAGCGUGCUGCAAAAUGGCAGUCUGAGCAUCCCUUAAUGCUUGAAGUUUAACCACAGCUGGAGCUGCUUCUUUGAAUCCUGUCGGUUCUAUUUGCAUCGAGUUGUUUCAGCUGAUGUGGUGCUGCCUAGAAAAACACUGAGGAUCCAUACAGAAGUACUUAUUUCUCUCAUAUUUAAAGGAAGCUUUGGCCUGUACAUUUUUAACAUCUUCAAAAUCUGUUGGUGUUUGUGGCAGUAGCUAUUCACAGUUGCUGUUUUCAUGUUGUCUGUCACCUUUUCCAAAUGGAAACACAGUGCACUCAUAUGAAGAAUUUUGAUUCCAGGUUGGCAAUAGGAGUGGGACACAGUGACCCGAGGAGCUUUCCAGGCCUUGCUCUGUCUUGUCUUUAAGCAAAGAAUAAUUGGUAUCCAAAUGUCUCAGGUUUUGUAUUUUUUUGUGGUUCUAUUUUUUUAAACUCUGAGCUGGUUUCGUUAGCGUACCAAAGAUGGCAACUGAAUGCAUUUCUAGGCACAGUUUGUAGCUGCAUUUAAUAUUGGGUUCUUUGUCUUCCCUUUCUAGGUAAUUAGAGAACUCUUCCAGCCCUCCAAAUGAGGCAAACUGUGAGUAAUGAGCUACUUUGUCCUAUGUCAGAGUGCCUUCUCUCCAAGUGCUGUUUGCUGUCUGGAUUUCUGACCGUUGAACAAGAAGUGUCCAUUGUGCUUCUCAUUUUUCAUUAAUUUUGAAGGUAACGUCUGCAUCCAGACAGCUGUGUUCAUUGGCCUGAAGUACUAAGCUACCAAUAAAUUUUCCUCCUGAUUUUUAA
This is a long non-coding RNA of Lagopus leucura (white-tailed ptarmigan), 2232 nucleotides long. RefSeq lists it as uncharacterized. The transcript has 3 exons. The record is from RefSeq and is a predicted model, not a curated record. Lineage: Eukaryota; Metazoa; Chordata; Aves; Galliformes; Phasianidae.